Molecule: ribosomal RNA, 492 nt
Filed under: uncultured bacterium
Lineage: Bacteria
Description: partial 16S ribosomal RNA
Rfam family: Bacterial small subunit ribosomal RNA
Source: RNAcentral
AGUGAACGCUGGCGGUAUGCCUAACACAUGCAAGUCGAACGGCAGCACAGUAAGAGCUUGCUCUUACGGGUGGCGAGUGGCGGACGGGUGAGGAAUACAUCGGAAUCUACUUUUUCGUGGGGGAUAACGUCGGGAAACUUACGCUAAUACCGCAUACGACCUACGUGUGAAAGCAGGCGAUCUUCGGACCUUGCGCGAUUGAAUGAGCCGAUGUCGGAUUAGCUAGUUGGCGGGGUAAAGGCCCACCAAGGCGACGCUCCGUAGCUGGUCUGAGAGGAUGAUCAGCCACACUGGAACUGAGACACGGUCCAGACUCCUACGGGAGGAAGCAGUGGGGAAUAUUAGACAAUGGGCGAAAGCCUGAUCCAGCCAUACCGCGUGGGUGAAGAAGGCCUUCGGGUUGUAAAGCCCUUUUGUUGGGAAAGAAAAGCAGCAGGUUAAUACCCCGCUGUUCUGACGGUACCCAAAGAAUAAGCACCGGCUAACUUCGUG